UACAGAGGAUGCAAGCGUUAUCCGGAAUGAUUGGGCGUAAAGCGUCUGUAGGUGGCUUUUUAAGUCCGCCGUCAAAUCCCAGGGCUCAACUCUGGACAGGCGGUGGAAACUACCAAGCUGGAGUACGGUAGGGGCAGAGGGAAUUUCCGGUGGAGCGGUGAAAUGCGCAGAUAUCGGGAAGAACACCCGUGGCGAAGGCGGUUCUCUGGGACGGUACUGACGCUGAGGAGCGAAAGCGUGGGGAGCGAACAGG
This 253-nucleotide ribosomal RNA is filed under the name uncultured bacterium. RNAcentral's name for it is "partial 16S ribosomal RNA". It matches the Rfam family "Bacterial small subunit ribosomal RNA", at positions 524 to 776 of the family's 1533-position model. The record is from RNAcentral.